CCCCCCCUUUAUGAAAAGUUCUGGAUCUGCCACUGGAAGGCUAUCUUGGAAACCAUUUAUAAUUAUAGAUUACCCUCUGAUGAUAUAUUGAUUUUAUGCAAAAUAGAAAUAUAUGACAAAAGAAAAUCUAAGUAAUACAAAGUAUAAAGACUUGCAUGUAAGUGAUUUUGUUAUCUUAUGAUUAUAAAGCUAAAUUAGCUGAUGAAUCACAUACUUGCAGAGGCGGAUUUAGGAAGGGGGCCCUGGGGGCCCAGGCCCCCCCUUUUAGGGAAAAAAAUUGGUUGCUUAUAUAGGGAAUCAUUGAAGCGUGACUGAAGCGGGCCCCCUCUUAGGUCAGUCAGUGGGCCCCCACUUAUGAAAAUUUCUGGAUCCGCCACUGACUUGAAUAUAUUUAGCACAAUGAGCACAUGCAUAUUAGGAAUCAAUGUAAUAAUGUUAGAAUAAUUAAUUGUAUGGAACAAUUUUGUAAAAUAUACAAAGCACAUUGUAUUAGGUGAAAAAAUACUGCAAAUCACAAAAAAGGUAUCAAAAUGGGAAAAUGUAAUUUAACACUAUUUCUGACAAGCUUGCAAAAAACAUGGUACUAUUCUCCAUGAAUCUUCAAAUCAAAAUUAUAUUUCACAUUGUAACAUUCAAGAAAAUGGUAAACAUUAUUGUGUUAACUAUAAUUACAAAUAUGAGAUGAAUAAAGCUGAAAAAGUGAUUUUUAAGGAAAGUAAUAACCUGAGGAUAGAGAAUUUUCAAUAAUGUAAUUACUUGUACAGUUUUCUCUCCAGGAACUUUUAGCAUCAUUGUAAUGUGAUGCUAUAUAUCUGAAUGUGAUGCUAUAUUUCUGAAUGUGAUGCUAUAUUUCUGAAUGUGAUGCUAUCUGAAUUGAUUUCUUAUAGAUUGUGUUAUGGAUGUGAUGUUAUAAUUUUUUGAAAUAUGAUGGUAUUUCAAUUUUCCUUUUUAACCAGGAUGCUAUAUGAAAUAUCUGGUGAAAACACUGCUUGUAUAUCUUUUGAUUUCAACAAAAACAAAGGAGAAGAAAUGUCAAGAUUUUUUUGUUUAUGAUUGGGUUUCAGAGGCGGAUUUAGAGGGUUUUUCAGGGGGCCUGCCUCCCUCUUUUCUGGGAAAAAAUUGGUUGAUUAUAUAGGGAAUCACUGAAGCAUGACUGGAGUGGGCCCCCUCUUAGGCCCCCACUUAUAAAAAUAUUCUGGAUCUGCCACUGGGUUUAAAGUAUUUCUUUGCAUGACAUAUAACACUUAGAAUGUAGUGGAUUUCAUUUCAUACCAUACUACAUCUAUGUACUUGUAUCAUCAUAAUAACAAAAUUAUAAAAAAAAUAAUCUGAUUAUCAGACUGUGAUACUUUCAUGUUUUUCACUAACAAUAGUACCCAGCAAUUCAAAACUGAUCAUCACUGGGAAGUUUCCUAUCUAGCACAGGAAGAUUUUCAACAAAGUUGUAACACCAUCUUAAAUGUUAUAGUCAUACUAACAUUUAUAAUUCGUAAAAGCAAUUGUGCAUGCUCUUUUGACAUGUGCACACCUUUUCAUAAUUUGAGGAAGACUAUACAAUACUGUUAUUUUUUUAAGUUUCUGAAGCACAAUAAUUUAAAUGGUUGUUUCAGAAUUC
RNAcentral lists this long non-coding RNA (1615 nucleotides) under Mytilus galloprovincialis (Mediterranean mussel). Lineage: Eukaryota; Metazoa; Mollusca; Bivalvia; Mytilida; Mytilidae. The record is from RNAcentral.